RNAcentral lists this ribosomal RNA (566 nucleotides) under uncultured Pantoea sp. RNAcentral describes it as "bacterial SSU rRNA". It matches the Rfam family "Bacterial small subunit ribosomal RNA", at positions 771 to 1337 of the family's 1533-position model. Lineage: Bacteria; Pseudomonadati; Pseudomonadota; Gammaproteobacteria; Enterobacterales; Erwiniaceae. The record is from RNAcentral.
AACCGGAUUAGAUACCCUGGUAGUCCACGCCGUAAAACGAUUCGACUUGGAGGUUGUUCCCUUGAGGAGUGGCUUCCGGAGCUAACGCGUUAAGUCGACCGCCUGGGGAGUACGGCCGCAAGGUUAAAACUCAAAUGAAUUGACGGGGGCCCGCACAAGCGGUGGAGCAUGUGGUUUAAUUCGAUGCAACGCGAAGAACCUUACCUACUCUUGACAUCCAGCGAACUUAGCAGAGAUGCUUUGGUGCCUUCGGGAACGCUGAGACAGGUGCUGCAUGGCUGUCGUCAGCUCGUGUUGUGAAAUGUUGGGUUAAGUCCCGCAACGAGCGCAACCCUUAUCCUUUGUUGCCAGCGAUUCGGUCGGGAACUCAAAGGAGACUGCCGGUGAUAAACCGGAGGAAGGUGGGGAUGACGUCAAGUCAUCAUGGCCCUUACGAGUAGGGCUACACACGUGCUACAAUGGCGCAUACAAAGAGAAGCGACCUCGCGAGAGCAAGCGGACCUCACAAAGUGCGUCGUAGUCCGGAUCGGAGUCUGCAACUCGACUCCGUGAAGUCGGAAUCGCUA